RNAcentral lists this ribosomal RNA (447 nucleotides) under uncultured bacterium. RNAcentral describes it as "bacterial SSU rRNA". It matches the Rfam family "Bacterial small subunit ribosomal RNA", at positions 29 to 524 of the family's 1533-position model. The record is from RNAcentral.
AACGAACGCUGGCGGCAGGCCUAACACAUGCAAGUCGAGCGCCCAGCAAUGGGAGCGGCGGACGGGUGAGUAACGCGUGGGAAUUUUUCCUGGAGUACGGAACAACCGAGGGAAACCUCGGCUAAUACCGUAUGAUGCCGAGAGGCCAAAGAUUUAUCGCUCUGGGGUGAGCCCGCGUCAGAUUAGGUAGUUGGUGGGGUAAAGGCCUACCAAGCCUGCGAUCUGUAGCUGGUCUGAGAGGACGAUCAGCCACACUGGGACUGAGACACGGCCCAGACUCCUACGGGAGGCAGCAGUGGGGAAUCUUGCGCAAUGGGCGAAAGCCUGACGCAGCCAUGCCGCGUGAGUGAAGAAGGUCUUAGGAUUGUAAAGCUCUUUCGCUCGUGACGAUGAUGACGGUAACGAGAGAAGAAGCCCCGGCUAACUUCGUGCCAGCGCCGCCGUAAU